UAUCUUUUUUGUUUUAAGAAAAAUUUUAUUUUGGUUUAAAAGAUAGGUAUUUAAUUUUUUUACAUGUAAAUCUUAGUGUUUAUAAUUAUGAAUUUUGAAAGUUUUUAAUUGUGAAUUUUUAACCACAGUAUUUAGUUUUAAAUAUUAAGGAAACUUAGAAUUAGAAAUUUACUUAAAUAUUAACAUAAUUUGUGCCAGCAGUUGCGGUUACACAAAUAAUAUAAUCUAUUAUUUUCAAUUUGUAAUUAAUCAAUAUUUAAAAAUUUAUCUAUUAUAAUUUAUUGAGUGAAAUUUUAAAUUAUAAAAAAUUUUUAUUAAAGAUUUUGAGGUUACUAAAUUUUAUUUAAAACUAGGAUUAGAUACCCUAUUAUAGAAAUGUAAAUUUUAAAAGUUAAAUUAUUAAUAGUUAUAGUCUUUAAAGUUAAAAAAUUUGGCGGUAUUUUAAUCUAUUCAGAGGAACCUGUCCUGUAAUUGAUAUUCCACGAUUAAAUUUACUUAAUUUAAAAAUUUGUAUAUCGUCGUAGUUGAAUAUUUUAGGAGAAAUCAAAUAUUCAAAAUGUUUAUUUAAAAUUUAAAUCAGAUCAAGAUGCAGUUUAUAAUUAAGAAGAGAUGGGUUACAGUAAAUUUAAUUUAUGGAUUUUAGUUUGAGAAAUUAAAUGAAAUUGGAUUUGAAAGUAAUUAGAUUUAUAUUGGUUUAAUGAUUUUAGCUCUAAAAUAUGUACAUAUCGCCCGUCGCUCUCAUUUAAAUUGAGAUAAGUCGUAACAUAGUAAAUGUACUGGAAAGUGUAUUUAGGUUG
Molecule: non-coding RNA, 797 nt
Filed under: Staphylinidae sp. BMNH 1274217
Lineage: Eukaryota; Metazoa; Arthropoda; Insecta; Coleoptera; Staphylinidae
Source: RNAcentral